This is a long non-coding RNA of Canis lupus familiaris (dog), 484 nucleotides long. RefSeq lists it as uncharacterized. The record is from RefSeq and is a predicted model, not a curated record. The transcript has 4 exons. Lineage: Eukaryota; Metazoa; Chordata; Mammalia; Carnivora; Canidae.
GCUGACGAGGGGGUGCGGGGAAGGGGGAGGGGAGGUGCUGGGAUGUGUAUGCAUCUGUGGUUCCAGUACGAGCAGCUGGACAAGGGGAAGUGUCUGAUGUGCCAGAGAAUGAAAAAGGUCCAGCUCAUCUGGUCCGUGGGCUGAGUAGGAGUGCAGGGCUACAAACCUGGGGAGACAAGGGAAUGGGUGAAGAAGGAGGUGUCUUGCAGUGAGGUUUGGCUGAAAACACAGAAGAUCCAUGAGAAGUCAGUCUCCCUUAGUAUGAGCAGCGAAGUCCUACUCAGGCUGGUCUGAAGCCAGUUCAGAUGUUACUGUCAUCUUUGGUCAACUUCCAUCUUUUAUCAGUACUUCCCAGUUACUUCACUGUAUCAAUACACUCUGACAACUCUCUUGCAAACUGGUGUGUGGACAAACAAACUCUGGCACAUCCAUACAGUGGAAUAUGGCUCAUCAAUAAAAAGGGACUAGCUGGUCAUACACCCAA